AGACUUACCUGGUGGGGGGGAGAUACCGUGGUCAAGGAGGUCGUUUUCCCAGGGCAAGGCUUACCUAUUGCACUCGGGAUACGCUGAUCCCUAUGAUUUCCCCAAAUGCGGAGAACUGGACUGCACAAUUUGUGGCACUGGGGGACUAUGUUCUCGGUCUCCCACA
Small nuclear RNA from Echinops telfairi (small Madagascar hedgehog), 166 nucleotides. Its record names the gene U1. It matches the Rfam family "U1 spliceosomal RNA". Rfam says of the family: U1 is a small nuclear RNA (snRNA) component of the spliceosome (involved in pre-mRNA splicing). Its 5' end forms complementary base pairs with the 5' splice junction, thus defining the 5' donor site of an intron. The record is from Ensembl. NCBI's taxonomy places the organism in Eukaryota, Metazoa, Chordata, Mammalia, Afrosoricida, Tenrecidae.